UGGGCUCGGCACGGGCGGCACCGGCCCCUCCGCCGCACCCCGCCACCGGCCGCCUCCUCCCGCCCUGCCCUGGCCUGUGCUGGGGGCUGCGCCGCGGCUCGCUCACCUCCCCUACCCCCUGCCCGCUUCCUCCCGCCCCGACGUGCCCCCGCGGCACCUCCGCUGGGCUGGGGGAGAGGCGAGCAGCACCCCUGCAUAGCCCUGCACCUCCAACUAACCUCUCUUUCCCCCUCCUCGGCACUCCCCUCUCUCCUUUUCGCCCCUUUCCCUUUCCCCUCUCUUCCUUUUCUCUCUCCCCUUCACUCUCUCCCUUUCCCUGGCCUUUCCUUUCUCCUCACCUUUUCCCUUUCCAUCCAUUUUCUUUUCGUAUUCCCGACUCCUUCUCCCAUUUUUCCCUCUCCUCGCCAUGCACCCCCACCACCCUCCAUGCAGCGUACCUCUCUAACACCUUCUCCUCCCCCAACAAUCCCUUCCCGUCCGGCCUCCGCACCUGGGGGCAGCCCGAAAGACCCUUUCUCCGCAGCCAGACGCGGGGCCCGCCCGUCCCGAGACAUGCCCCGGGGACGCACCCGCGAUCCCCCACACAUCCUCUGCUCCCCAUUUCCCCACACUUUUCAUUAUUUCCCCUCCAGGUUCUGCUAUUUCCUGCACAGAUUCUUAACGCGAUGUGCGUGUAGCGGCGAAUCCGGCACAUACAAAUAAUAACAGCAGCAAUAAUCAGACUAAAAUGCCAGGAGACGAAGGUAAAAUGUGACCUGCUACAAAACGAAGCGAUCUCGGCGGGAGCAGCCGCGGCAGAGCGCUGCCUGCCGGUCCCGCCGCCUCCGGCUCCCGGCGAGCUCCGCUCGGAUUAUAUAUUUCUCCCUCUCUUCGCCCUCCCCCUCCCCGCCAUUCCCUUAAAAAAAAUUUAAAAUUAAAUAAAUAAAAUCUAC
Vidua macroura (Pin-tailed whydah) is the source of this 932-nucleotide long non-coding RNA. RefSeq lists it as uncharacterized. The record is from RefSeq and is a predicted model, not a curated record. NCBI's taxonomy places the organism in Eukaryota, Metazoa, Chordata, Aves, Passeriformes, Viduidae. The transcript is spliced from 2 exons.